Molecule: long non-coding RNA, 410 nt
Filed under: Nicotiana benthamiana
Lineage: Eukaryota; Viridiplantae; Streptophyta; Magnoliopsida; Solanales; Solanaceae
Description: long non-coding RNA (NBEN_LNC002271)
Source: RNAcentral
GAAUUACAAGAUCUAAAACAAGUGUUGAGUUGUGGGAGUAGUCUCUUCCUCAUUCCUAAUAGAUUAUGAUCAACAUCCAGUGCAGCUCUGACUGUUGUGUUUGUCAAAAAGGGCACAUGUGCUACAAAUAUUCGUUAUACAGGGAAUUAGAUGUAAAUUCAUGCUUUAAUAUGAAAGAUAUACACAGUCAUGUAUAUAUAAAACUACAUACAUAAUACAAGAUGUAGAUAAUAUAUAAUUAAAAUUUACACUUAAACGUAAGCGGUACUUACUAGUUGCCACCAUGACGAGAAUAGCGAGCACAAAAGAAUUCUUUAGCAACAUCAUUGUGUUAUAAAAGUUUAUGAGUGGCUAAUUACUUCUAAAAUGUCGUAAUUUAUAGACCUUCUUGAGAUCAAACUACAUCUCUG